GUUGGUUCUUGUGUGAGGGGAGAUAGAGGAGUUAGAGACAGGAUAAAAUAAGACUAAGAGGGUAAAGGGUAACAGCGUUUUGAAUGCAUUUAAAGUUUAUUUGUGUCUGCAACAAACUACAGUCUUCGUUGUUAACUUGAGAACCCGACUGAGACUAAGUGUUUUACCAGAGAGAACCUGGUUGGUGGCAAUGGAUUAGUGGUGUACGGGUCAAUAGUCCGUGAAAUGACCGGGGGCUCCGUAUGAACUCCACAACAACAUGGAACCCAGAUAUGGAAAAUAGCUAUUCAGUAGCCUAGUUCUGGUUUCUCUCUAAUUUCCAUGGAUAUGUUCUUGUGCACCUGAGAUUUCAUAAAAAGGUUUUGCAAGUACUCUCUCUCUCUCUCUCUCUCUCUCUCUCAACAAUCCUCGCCACAAGUAUCCCUCUGUUCCUGCAAAACUUCUAAAAGUUUUCAAUCCAGAGCAAGACUUUUAGGUUAUCUAAUGUUAUGGGAGAUGACCUAUUUUACAGCACUCCAAGCUUAACAUUUUCACCUCACUUCACCCCAACAAUAAAUUCUUGCACAGGGUACUACUUAAAGGUUCAAUCAGGAUUUUAGAGUUUUCUUCACUCACAACAGCCAAGUGUGAAGUUCCGCAUUUCCUCCUUGAUUUGCUCACUGGAGUAGCUGUGACAGAGAAGUGCCUGAAAGGAUCAGUCAUCAUCCAAAUUGCUCCUGCCUGCCUGCCUGCCUGUGUAGAGGGUAAUCUAUGUUUCACAUUGGAUGUUUGCUCAAGGAACAGAAGACAAUAACAUGAAGUAGACACAAAAAGAUCCACUUGUGACUCAAAAUGGAAGGACAUGAGAGAGGAAAGAGGAAAGAAACAAGCCACACUUUUUUCCUGCAUAAAAAUCUUCAGAAUGUUAAUUCAACUGAGUCAAAAUUUGGGGGGCACAUUGCUGGCUCUGUUUAAAUUGGAGAAAAUUAUAUCCAGCUAUGCAAAACAAGAUUGCAUUCUAUGAGCGAGGAAGUUAUAGUGCAAGUCUGAACAUGUUUACUCAGAUACAGCUUGUCUCAUGGAGUGCAAUGCAACUUAUUCCCAGGUAAGUGUAUGCAGGCUUGAAGCCUCACAGUGUCUUCUUAUGUGGGUAUGCUCAGGUGUAAGUUCCAUUGGGUUGUGUGUUUAACUUAUACUCAGAGUAGACCAACUGGAAUUAAUGGACCAAAGUGAGUCAUGGCCAGUCAUUUCAAUGGUCCUACACUGAGUAAAAGUUGAAUACAACCCAUUGAGUUUAAUGACACUAACAGUGCAAUCCAAACCCAAGAUCUACCAGGAAAAACAAAUUUGGAAAAGGCAGGUCCUUGGCUGUCCCAGCUGAAAUGGGGUUAUGCUAGUUAACUCUCUCAGCUCUGUGCUGUUUAAUUGGGUGAAAUUUACACUGAUGUAAAUCUGAAAAAGGGGAGUGGCAGUGACAGGACUGGACAAGAGACUUACACGUAUUUCAAGCCUCUUUCAGCUCAGUCAUGUGCCCUGGCAACGCAGUGGAUCUUACACCAUCUAAUAUGAUAGUGUAAGUUAAACUUGGUUUAAAAGGCUUGUUUUCCCUCUGUGGGAUUGAGCCAGCUCAGCUGACAGUAGUGCUACUCCUUAAUGGAGUUUCUAAUGUAUGCAUUUAUGCCUCUAUAUACCGUAUUGGACCAAAUAUAAGCUGCACCCAAAUAUAAACCACACCUUUAAAAUUAGAGGGGGAAAUGAAAAAAAUACCCAAAUAUAAGCCAAUCCAUUCCUUGAUGUUCCUGGCUGCAUAUUGGGCGGUGGGGUGGGGGGUGGGGUGGAGGGGAGAACCACACUGUGUUGGCGGUGGCCUUUUCCCUUCCUCGCUCUCUCCCUUCCUGGCCUUGGAGGAAGAGGAUGGGGGACUACAUGUGGGGUGGGUGCUGCUUUGCCACAUUCUUGGCGCUGUUUGCCUCGCACUCCUGGCUGCAUACCGUAAGGUCGUGAAUAUAAGCUGCAUUUUAACUUUUCAAGGUCGGAAUUUGGGGGGAAAGUGAGGCUUAUAUUCAGGCCAAUAUGGUAUGUUCAUCUGUCUCUAUCUCACACAAGGAAGAAGAAAAUAUUUUUUCUGAUCUUUGAUUUUUUUGGAACCAAAAUUGUAUUCACAUGUGAUUUCAUAGGGUGUCAUUAGACAUCCUGCUCUCCAACUACAUGAAAGUAAAUAGUGAUUCACUUCACAGGGUGGUUGUGAAGGCAAGCAACACUGUUGAUUUCGUCCAUCUUGUUUAUAUACUUGGUGAUAUUUGUUGCUUGUUAUACAUCACUUUUUGUGGAACGGCAGCAUGCAUAUAUAUGCAUGCACGCACACACGAUGCUCAAACCAGCAUCAUCAUUUUGGGGCAUGAUAUUUGGACAACUCUCAGAUAAUGAGAGACUGAUUCAGAUAUGUGAAUGUUUGUCUGGACUCCAGUGUUAACUGUGGAAGGCAAAGUUCCUUGAGUGCAAACAGUACUUGUGGAUCUCCUAUGGAAGGCUGUAGUCUACCUUCUAUUUUUCCAGAUGUUGGAGUCCCCAUUCAUUCCAAAGCAAGCACUUCACGGCAUGCAAGAGACGUGUGUGUGCAUUUGAGCUGUUUUUGUUGGAGAGAGAGGUUUAGAAGAUAUUCUUACUCUCUCACAGCAGAGUUAACACAAUUGUGAUUGCUCCAGGCACAUUAAAACUUGGUUAGAUUUGCAGCUGCCCUCAUCUACCUUCACACAACCAAUCCCCACAAAAGUACUUGAGCUAGAAUAAAUCAGACACUUAGUUUUGAUAAGGGACUAUUUUACCCGCAGAGUUUCCAGAAGUUACAGCAAACAAGUCCCCAUCUACUGGCAGGAAAAGAAAGGUGAAAAAGGCUCCGAAUGUCUUAAAAAGAAAAGUACUUACGUUUCCUUAAAAAAGGAUCAUGCAAACUUUGGGUUAGAAAAUAUGCAGCUUUAAAAUAGCCUUAUCGAGAGAUUCAGUUCAGUUGCAGGGAGCCAUGGCUGCAUGGCUUCUUGCUUAUUCUGGGAAGCAUAAAGAGAAAAGGGGGGGGGGAUGAGCAGAGACUGCUGAGAAAUUGCUAAGCCACACCCACUUGCAACCUGAGCUCUGGGCUCAGGUUAACUCUUUCAUGCACCCAAGUGUAAGUCUGUAACAGUAUAUUACAACAGUUUUAUCAGAAAGAUAACCUCUGAACUCCUAGGCAAAGUUAAUUGGAUUGGCAGAGGAGAGGGAGAGCACCUCUAACAACUCAUUUGAAUAAUAAAGCAUCACUUAACGAACCCUGUGGCUUGCCUCUCCAUGUGUUUCACUGAACUGUGCUUCCAGGAAACAACUAACAACACUUUAACCUCCAUAAAUCCCUGCAUGAAACUUUGGCAGUGCCAGUGUGAAGGCAAAAACAUUGCUCUCAAAGCAUUCAGAAAUUGGCAGAGCUUCAUCUGCCAUAAGUUAGAUUAGUUUCAGAACUAAAUGUCCAUAAUGGAUACAAAGAGACUGUUGAAAUCCAUCAGAAUAAAAAAUAAUGUUCCUUGCCAUGCCAGGUGCGGUGAUGCUACAUCUGUUUAAACUGAGACAGAGGGGAUGUUUCCUCAAAUGAAUGACAAAACAUUUCUGAAAAAGAAGAAGAGAGGUUGCAUAUAUUUCUGCAGUUAUCCCAGGGCACACUGUUCUCAUUUGGAAAUGAAAGCCUAUUUAUGUUCCUGUACCUGCAGAAAGGAAGGUCAAAUCCCGCUUCUGCUGCCUUGCAGUCUACCACUGUCUCACAGGGAUGUUAUAAGAUAAAUAAAUUGUAAAAUACACUGCAUACUGAGAAACAACUUUUCAAAUUCCUUAUUUUUUAUGCCACAGAACACACCACCCCCUUUUCAUUCAAAAUUCAAAAUAUCCACCACCAUGAUCAGGCCCAGUUAGUUGGGGGAUCCCAGGAAGGAUUGCGUCAGUGUCCCCCUUGCUCACACCUGCCGGGGUAGGUGCCAAAUAUUCACACUUCAAAUGGUAUGCCAGUCAUGUUAGAAACAGUGCAUGCUGCUUUUGGAAAGGCUAGGUUCCAUAGUUUUAAAUUAUUUGCUAGCAGUCUGUUAUGUACUGAGUUGAAUAGGAGCCAUACUGCAGCAGUCUGAUUGGUCCUAGAACAAUAGGAUCCAAAAUGCAGCAGUCUGAUUGGUCCUAGAACAAUAGGAUUCAGAAUGCAGCAGUCUGAUUGGUCCUAGAACAAUGCAGCAGUAUGAUUGGUUGGCAGGAACCACCCAAUCCUGCUCCAGAUAGAAGUGAAUCCACAACCUGAUUGGCUUACAGUAGAAUUCCGGAAUUAGCCAAUCAUGUGCAGCCCAUUGUGUAAAUAAUGUAUAUAAAGCAGAUACUGUGAGGGAACUUCCAUUCAGUCCUCCUCACCACUAUGAGCUGAAUAAAGAGCCUGAAAUCACUUUGCGACUCUGAGUAUAUUUCACUGGCGAUGAGGAUGGGAUCCCGCUGAGCUGACUGCCACACACAGCACCGCAGCACCGCCACCUGCCGCACCGCUGCCUCGCACCGUGUAUCCAGGCUUCAGCUCCGGGACACAAGGAACUCAGAAUGGCAGCCAACAGCAGCUUCUCGCCAUUCAACCCAGCAUCUGGAGACUGGGAAACGUACGCCUCCCGUUUCACCUUCUUCCUAGAAGCCAAAGGGGUCACCGACGAAGAAGACGCCAAGAAGAGGGCGAUAUUCUUCAGCGUCUGCGGAGAGGAGACGUUUGAAAUCGCCCGGGCUCUCCUUGCGCCUGAAGACGUCGCUACUGUUCCAUACAAAACAAUAAUGGAACAGCUGAAGGGGCACUUUUCGCUGCAGCCCUCAGUGGUGGCUCGUCGAAAUGCCUUCUACGCAAAGCAGCAAGCCCCUGGGGAAACCAUAACUGGGUUUGUGACCUCUCUCCGCCAAGCCGCCCGGUUCUGCAACUUCUCAGAGCUGGAGAACAUGCUUCGUGACCGCCGCGUCGGUGGCCUGAAGGAUGAGAAGCUGCAAUGAUGCCUCUACGCUAAGAAGGACCUAACGUUCCAGGUCGCUCUGGAGGAGGCCCUGGCAACGGAAGCUGCCGAGAGGUCAACGCAAGAGGCACGGCCGAGCCUGCCAUCCCAACCGAGGGUCCACCACGAAGACCUCACUGACGACUCAGGAUCCGACAGGGAGGAGGUGCACCGAGUACAGCAGCGCACUCAAGCAGCGCACAGACCACAGCUGCCUCGACGAGAAGGAGGGAACUGCGCAAGCUGUGGGGAGAGUCACGAGAGGAGGACCUGCCGUUUCCGCAACGCAGAGUGCAGGCAGUGCAGAAAAUCGGGACACAUCGCCCGGGUGUGUCGGGCUCGGCCCACCCGACACCAGGCAUCAGAUGACCAAUCCAAGAGCCCCAGGUCCCGGGGCCCAACGCACCAAGGCAACUCGACGGAGCUCACGGACUGCCAGGUAUACCAGUUGCCCCACCCCAACGUAGAGAAAAUUUAUGUAGAGGUACAGAUAGAGGGGGGCCCCAUGCCGCAUGGAGCUUGACACGGGUUCAACUCUAUCCAUAAUCUCGGCAAGGACCUUAAGGAAACUGUGUCCUACUGGGGGUCCCAAACUCAGGCCGGCCCCACUCACCCUACGGGACUUCCAGAAACGUAAGGUCCCCACAAUGGGGGUGGGGACCUUCAGGGUGCAAUACCGAGGGCGGACGCGGCAACUGGACUUGCUUGUGGUCAAGGGCCCCUACGUUAGCUUACUGGGAUUGGCAUGGUUUGGACCACUGGGCUAGCUGUCACCGGGGUGAACCACACUAGCUUACAAGUGGAUGUGGACGCCAUAUGCAAGGAAUUUCCAGUGGUUUUCGAUGGGAAAUUGGGACAGUAUACGGGCCCCCCCAUUGCACUACAGCUUGACCCCGCAGUACGACCGGUCAGGCUCAAGGCCCGCCGGGUCCCGUUCGCCUUGAAACCCCGUAUAGACGAGGAAUUGGACCGACUCGUGGAGCAAGGAGUGCUGGAGCCGGUGCCUAAUGCUCCCUGGGAAACCCCAAUCGUCACACCCAUCAAGCCUAAUGGUUCGGUCCGCAUCUGCGCAGACUACAAAUGUACCAUAAACAAGGCCCUCACGGCCCACGCAUACCCAGUGCCAGUGGUCAGCCAUGUCCUUGCCACCCUGGCUGGGUCGAAAUUUUUGGCAAGCUGGACUUGGCCCAAGCAUAUCAACAGCUGCCAGUAGAUGAGGCCACAGCAGAGGCACAGACGAUUGUGACGCACAGAGGAGCGUUCAGGGUAAAGCGGCUGCAAUUCGCUUGGCAGCGUGGCACCAGGCAUAUUCCAGAAUCUAAUGGACUCUCUCCUUAAAGGGAUUCCUGGCGUCACUCCCUUCUUCGAUGAUGUGUUGAUUGCCGGGCCCACACCAGAGGAGCCUGAGGACCGCCUCCGCAUCGUUCUGCACCGUUUCCAGACGGCGGGUCUCAAGGUGAAGCGGGAAAAAUGUCUACUAGGAGUGCCUCAGGUGGACUUUCUGGGAUUUAUGGUGGACGCAGAAGGGGUCCACCCGACUGGGGACAAGGUACGGGCCAUUUGUGAUGCCCCAGCACCCAAAAGCAAGACUGAACUUCAGGCCUUCUUGGGACUAUUGAACUUUUACCAUUCCUUCCUUCCCCACAAGGCGGCGGUAGCGGAGCCCCUACACAGACUCCUGGACAAGCGGGCCCCUUGGGUGUGGGGCCAGUGCCAGGAGGCCGCAUUCCAGGCAGUCAAGGACUUGCUUGUCUCAAACUUGGUCUUGGCACACUUCGACAAGAGGCUGCCGGUGGUGCUAGCAUGCGACGCCUCACCCUAUGGCAUUGGCGCUGUCCUGGGGCACCAACUCCCGGAUGGAAGAGAGGUACCGGUGGCGUACUUUUCCCAGACACUCAAUGCAACCGAGCAGAACUACUCGCAAAUUGACAAGGAGGGUCUGGCAAUCGUGAAGGGAGUAAAAAAAUUCCAUGAUUUCUUGUACGGGAGGCCCUUCACCGUGGUGACUGACCACAAGCCGUUGCUUGGCUUGUUUGCCCCCGAAAAGCAGACCCCCCCAAGUGCUGUCUCCUCGCGUCCUCAGGUGGUCAAUUUUCCUUGCCAGCUACCAGUACGCACUGAUUCACUGACCUGGGAAGGCGAUGGGCCAUGCGGACACCCUCAGCAGGCUACCACUACCGGAAACAGGCCCUGACCCAGCACCUGCAUAAGAGGUUAUGAGCCUGGAGCUGCUUCCUGACCGCCCCAUUCAGGCACAAGAAGUUGCACACCAUUCCAAGAAAGAUAGGGUCAUCUCCUGGGUCCUGGACUGGGUGUGGAGGGGAUGGCCCAGCAGCAGCCCUGGGCCAGAAUUCGCCGGCUACACAACCCGCAAACAUGAACUGUCGGCCUACAAGGGGUGCCUGUUAUGGGGAAGCAGAGUCGUUGUUCCCCAGCCCCUCCGCAAAAGGGUCCUCACAGCCCUACACGAGACACAUCCAGGGGUAGUAAGAAUGAAGGCCCUUGCCAGGAGUUAUGUGUGGUGGCCAGGGAUCGAUGGAGAGAUAGAGGCCUGGGUCAAACACUGCCAGGCCUGCCAAGAAUCCCGCCCAGAUCCCCCAAGGGCCCCAGUCCAGUCCUGGGAGUCCACCCGAGCACCAUGGUCACACCUGCAUGUGGAUUUCGCUGGCCCCUUUCAGGGGAAAACAUUCUUCAUAGUGGUGGACUCCUACACCAAAUGGCUGGAAGUCGCACUGGUACCGUCCACUUCCACGUCCGCAGCCAUCUGGGUACUACGCAGGCUGUUUGCAACCCACGGGCUCCCUGACACUCUCAUCUCAGACAACGGGACUGCAUUUACGUCAGGAGAAUUCCAAACCUUCACAGCGCAGAACGCCAUCCGCCACAUCCGUUCGGGCGCCGUUCCACCCUGCCACCAAUGGCCAAGCAGAACGCAUGGUGCGGACCACCAAGGACACCCUUCGCCGCAUGACGCAAGGGGACUGGGAGUACCGCCUUGCCACAUUCCUUCUAGCACAGCACAGCACCCCCAGCUCAAUGACUGGCCGGAGCCCCGCUGAACUACUAAUGGGUCGGCACCUUGCAAUCAGAUUGGACUGCCUUCACCCCGAUAGAGCUCAGGAUGAGGUAGUGGUGGGGGAAGGCAGGAACCCCCGGACCUUCGAGGCCCAGGACCCAGUGUAUGCAAAGAAUUUUGGGGCAGGCCCAGCAUGGUCACUGGGGUCACUGGCCCCGUGUCGUACGAGGUGCUAACGGAUGGGGGGCAAUGCUGGCGCUGCCACUGCGACCAGAUACGGCGACGAUUCCCAGGAGAAAACCAGGAGGAGGACAGGUCAGAGGAGUCCCAAGCGAACAGCGGGGCAGUGAGGCCCAUAGAGCAGGAGGGGCCAGCAGGAGAGGCAGAAUCAGUAAAUACAGAGAGGACCCGUGAGGCCGAAAGGACACCGGAACCAGAACCAUGACUGAGCGAGCCGGUUGCACCAGACCAAACAGCCCCAUCACAGCCAGCAUCCUUGGAACACGAGCCAGAACCUGGAGCCCGGACCAGGGAACACCCCAGGCCGCAACGCACACGUAGGCCGCCGGCAUACCUUGAGGACUAUGAAUGCGACCUCCCGGGCAGGACUGGAACUUAGAGGGGAGGGGUGUUAUGUACUGAGUUGAAUAGGAUCCAAACUGCAGCAGUCUGAUUGGUCCUAGAACAAUAUGAUUGGUCUGCAAGAGCCACCCAAUCCAGCUCCAGAUAGAAGUGAAUCCACAACCUGAUUGGCUUACAGUAGAAUUCCGGAAUUAGCCAAUCAUGUGCAGCCCAUUGUGUAAAUAAUGUAUAUAAAGCAGAUACUGUGAGGGAACUUCCAUUCAGUCCUCCUCACCACUAUGAGCUGAAUAAAGAGCCUGAAAUCACUUUGCGACUCUGAGUAUAUUUCACAGUCUCUUACUAGACAUUGCUCAGAAAUACCAACAAACAAACAAACAAACAAACAAACAAACAAACAUCAGUUCUGUUUUGAAAACAGUGGUUGAAAUCAGCAGUUUGGAAAUGUUCAGUAUGCCAUUUUGAGUCAAUAUGAUAUCUAAUUACAUCCAAAAGCUUGCUCCUUGAUCUCUGGACCCAUCAUGCAAAAUUUGAUUACUGUGUCCAAAUGCAGAGAGAACAAAUGACUUUCAAAAAUAUAUGGUAGAUGACUUGCGUAAUGUCAACAUAGGCUUACAAGUGUAAAAACCAAUUACACGAGACUUAAAAUAUAAACACCCAUAAUUAAAAUGCACAACAAAACAAUUCCAUUAAAAUAUUCAAGUCUACACAUCCAUAAUCAAAACAGACAAUAAAGCAAUUCUGUUUAAACACACAUUAAUUAACACAGGAGACACAGCUCUAGAGAUCAAGCAAAUUCCCAUAUAAACAGGUAAGUCUUCAAAAGCUGACAUAAUGCCAAUGCAGAUAAGGCCUCUCAGCCCCAAGUGCAGAAGCAGUGGUCAUAUCUAGAGUCAAAGGUAGCCACAAUAGCUUUUAGCUUGUUGGAAACAAAGAAAUAUAGCAUAACUUCAGUGAUCCUUUAUCUGCUUCCAGAAAAAAAAAGUUUGGAAAUAACACUGAAAUAUACUAUAUUGUACUAUAUUUCUGGAAGUGGAGUUUAUAUCAUGUGAAAACUCAGAUACAAUGCAGAAAUUAUGGAAAUGUCAGGAAAAUGGAACAAACCGCCGAGUGAAUGUAGCCUUAGCUAAAUACCACCCACCUUCUGCUUUUCAGUUCACACUUCUGCAAGCAAUUUCCCCUAACAUAAUGCGUUUUUGUAUUUUAUUUUCAUGAGCAUGUUUUAAUGUCUAUUUCCCCCGACAUACACCUUUUUGUACACAUUAUCUGCUUGGAAAACUGCAUUGCAAAAUUCGGGGACAUGCAAAUUUAAAAGGAUAGCUGUGUUUUGGUUCAUGCAUUUUUUUCAGGAAAGAGAACUACAUUUGUCCCCUCUAUCUAGUCCCGGUUACAAUGGAAACAGUCUGCUCUUGCCCAGUGGUGGCUGCUAUCCUUUGGGACUGGUAAAGUGGAAGGGAGAGUGGCCAGUAGCAGGGGGAACCACAGCCACUGAGAGACAGAGCCAGCUCCUUCUAGCUUGUCCCCCACCCUCCCUGCUUCAUUCUUCAAGAACAAAACAGACUGAGAAGGGGGGAGCUGACAGCCAGAGCCACACUGUGGCCCUGGACUAGUAAGUAGGAAGGCAGGCAGGUGAGGACUGGCUGAGGUUAGUGGGGCCAUGCCCCCUUUGAAUCAGCCACUUCUGCUCAUGCUUGAAAAACUAGGUGCUAACACAUUGUAAGUAAAAAGGGUUGGGCUGGGUUUGUAACUGUCUUCAAAUUCCUGUAUCAAUAACAGUGAUACAUCAUCUUUUUGCUUUUUUAAUCAUUUAGAUUCCCACUUCCCUUAUUUAAACUUCUAUAGAGAUAACAUAUUUAACAGACAAACUGAAAUGGCUAAGUCUUUAAGACACUACAAUACUUCUUGUUUUUUCUCAUUACAGAGCAACAAUGUGUGUUAAUUCAAACAACCAGAAGAGGGCACUGCCCACCGAUUUUCAACACUCACUUUUUUUUUGGUGGGGGGGGAAUGGAUGGACACAAAGAGUUCUGAUCACUUACAGAUCUGUUCUUUACAACAGGAUAAUAUUGUUUCUGUCACCAAAGCUACAAUCAACAUGCUAAAUUCAGAAAGCGACACAAGAGAAGGCAAAUCCUAUGAAAACACAAACCUGGAAGCAUAAAUAACCAAAAAGCAAAGUUACUAUAUAUUACUACUAACUAGCUAUUAGAAACAAUGCAUCGUAAUAUGCAAAUUUAAUUCAAAACUUGGGGUGGGGAUGGAAUCUGGCCUGUUAAAAGGUAAAGGUACCCCUGUCCGUACGGGCCAGUCAUGUCCGACUCUAGGGUUGUGCGCCCAUCUCACUUAAGAGGCCGUGAGCCGGUGCCGUCCGAGGACACUUCCGGGUCACGUAGCCAGCGUGACGAAGCUGCAGCUGGCGAGCCAGCACCAGCGCAGCACACGGAAACGCCGUUUACCUUCCCGCUAUAAAGCGGUCCCUAUUUAUCUACUUGCACUUAGGGGUGCUUUCGAACUGCUAGGUGGGCAGGAGCUGGGACCAAACGACAGGAGCUCACCCCGCCGCGGGGAUUCGAACCGCCGACCAUACGAUCGGCAAGUGCUAGGCACUGAGGUUUUACCCACAGUGCCACCUGCGUCCCUUUUAUCUGGCCUGUUAGGCCUUGUCAAACUCCCAAGUCCCAUUGUCCCAGCCUUCAGGGCCAAUGGUCAGGGAUGAGGAAGUCCUCAACAUCAUCUGGAGGGCCACGGAUUAGCCACACCUGAGCUAUACCACCCUCUAAUAUCACAUAUAACUUAUAAUAGGUUCUUUUUUUCACCUUGAUGAGAAGUUGCACUUGCCAACAUUCCCUGUUCUACUUGAUUAUUAAACAUAUAGCAGCCAUGUUUCCCUUUUUUCUCUUAGUCACAGUUACAACUUUCUGGAAAGUAAAUGUAAGAUAAUAGGCUUGUUUGGUGGUGGGAAAUGUCCUUUUGAAGCAGCUUACUAAUUUUAGAUAUCAAACCUGCAUAUACGCGCUCUCUCUCUCUCUCUCUCUCUCUCUCUCUCACACACACACACACACACACAUAAAAUUCUCAGUUACUGUCACUGAAAUACCUUUUAUUACUAGCAAGUAGCAACUAGUUAUAGAUGAUGUUGAUGAGAAAAAUGUUCAGCCUUAGAUCAGCACUGACAAUAAAGUGAUCUUGUAUGACACUUUUGCAGAUUGUGAACUAAGGCAGAGACAGCAAAUUCAUUUUAUUAACCAUACGUUCAACCAAUUUAUUUACACCCUCCUUUCCUCUCCAAAAAGAAGCCCAAAGCAGCUGAUAACAUCAUACAAGAAAAAAAUACAACAAUUUAAAAAGAAAAACAAUAUGAAUUAUCUGACAGCAAAAAUAUUAUAACAAACCUAUAAGUAAACCAUUGGUUUGAUACUUUAAACACCAGUUCACUUAGCAAUACAAAAAUGCAUAAAUAUAUCAAUAAACAAGGGGAGACUAAGUGUCCUGAACCCCUGACCUACCUGGCAGCAUGUCAGUAUGUCAAGUCCAAAGGCCAGAAAACACAGUCCAGGGUCAAUCCAAGUAGCCAAGUCAGAAUACAGUCCAGAGUCAAACCCAAAACACAGUCCCAUAGAGGCCCAGGAGUAUCCAAGCCAAGGCCCACCAACAUGGGCAGUUGAGCAGACAUAGCACCUCAGCUCUGCUGCCCUUUUGACCUUUGCAUGCUGAUUGUAGCAUCUGGGCUUGAUGGGGCAUGUGACCCUCACCUGUUCUGAGCUUACUUCAAGUGAGGAAUCACACACCUUCUGCUAGAGCUAGUGAACUCCACCUGGCCAGCUAGGGAGCUGGGCUGUGGGUCCUCUAGAACGCCUUUCCCGUUGCUCCCUAUGCCUCAGAGCCCACUGUAUUCAUAGAAACAAGGGCCCCUCUGGCUCUGGGAAUGGGUCCUGCUGUUCUGGGUCCUGGGCACUGACCUCCAUCCCCUUGCCAUUCUUUGUCACCAUGUGAGUACUUCCUUCCCCAUCCCCCUGCUUCCCCCAGUGUGUCCCAGUCCUGGCAAACCCCUCGCCGGAUCCUCCCCAUUGUCCUGCCAGUUCAUGACACUAAGAUAUAACCCAUAUUUCAGCCACAAAUAUAUACACACUAGGUGUUGCAUCCUUGCUUGAUCCACUCACCUGUCAUUCACCCCACAUCAAUCCCCUAGAUUGAUUCCCCACAUGCAACUACAAAGCUCACUUUUCACCUUCCAAAACCCAUUUCUGAAGCAACUUCUCACUGCAGUCCCACUUUGCACCCAUUUUCACCUCCCCACCAUGUCCAAAACCAAAAUCAAUUCUCCUGGCAAACUGGGAAUAUCCCCUCAUUCACACAGUUUAGGACAUUCCCCACCUUUCUUCAGCAGAGUUUCUUUUUCUUUGAAAAAAAUAAAGGGCUCACAUAAAUGUAAACAAAGCUUCAAUAAUAAAGAAAACUGUGACAAAAUAGCAUAAUGAGACACACUAAAUACAGCAUGUUAUGUACUGAGUUGAAUAGGAUCCAAAAUACAGCAGUCUGAUUGGUCCUAGAACAAUGCAGCAAUAUGAUUGGUCUGCAAGAGCCACCCAAUCCAGCUCCAGAUGGAAGUGAAUCCACAACCUGAUUGGCCUACAGGAGAAUUCCGGAAUUAGCCAAUCACGUGCAGCCCAUUGUGUAAAUGAUGUAUAUAAAGCAGAUACUUUGGGGGAACUUUCAUUCCUCCCCACCACUAUGAGCUGAAUAAAGAGCAUGAAAUCCA
This is a non-coding RNA of Podarcis lilfordi (Lilford's wall lizard), 13357 nucleotides long. The record is from the annotation of a GenBank genome assembly. Lineage: Eukaryota; Metazoa; Chordata; Lepidosauria; Squamata; Lacertidae.